Molecule: ribosomal RNA, 997 nt
Filed under: uncultured Gram-positive bacterium
Lineage: Bacteria
Description: bacterial SSU rRNA
Rfam family: Bacterial small subunit ribosomal RNA
Source: RNAcentral
CCCAGCCGCCGCGGUAAUACGUAGGUGGCAAGCGUUGUCCGGAAUUAUUGGGCGUAAAGCGCGCGCAGGCGGUCUCUUAAGUCUGAUGUGAAAGCCCACGGCUCAACCGUGGAGGGUCAUUGGAAACUGGGAGACUUGAGUACAGAAGAGGAGAGUGGAAUUCCACGUGUAGCGGUGAAAUGCGUAGAUAUGUGGAGGAACACCAGUGGCGAAGGCGACUCUCUGGUCUGUAACUGACGCUGAGGCGCGAAAGCGUGGGGAGCAAACAGGAUUAGAUACCCUGGUAGUCCACGCCAUAAACGAUGAGUGCUAGGUGUUAGGGGUUUCGAUGCCCUUAGUGCCGAAGUUAACACAUUAAGCACUCCGCCUGGGGAGUACGACCGCAAGGUUGAAACUCAAAGGAAUUGACGGGGGCCCGCACAAGCAGUGGAGCAUGUGGUUUAAUUCGAAGCAACGCGAAGAACCUUACCAGGUCUUGACAUCCUUUGACCACUCUAGAGAUAGAGCUUUCCCCUUCGGGGGACAAAGUGACAGGUGGUGCAUGGUUGUCGUCAGCUCGUGUCGUGAGAUGUCGGGUUAAGUCCCGCAACGAGCGCAACCCUUGAUCUUAGUUGCCAGCAUUCAGUUGGGCACUCUAAGGUGACUGCCGGUGACAAACCGGAGGAAGGUGGGGAUGACGUCAAAUCAUCAUGCCCCUUAUGACCUGGGCUACGCACGUGCUACAAUGGAUGGUACAAAGGGCUGCAAAACCGCGAGGUUGAGCGAAUCCCAUAAAGCCAUUCUCAGUUCGGAUUGUAGGCUGCAACUCGCCUACAUGAAGCCGGAAUUGCUAGUAAUCGCGGAUCAGCAUGCCGCGGUGAAUACGUUCCCGGGCCUUGUACACACCGCCCGUCACACCACGAGAGUUUGUAACACCCGAAGUCGGUGAGGUAACCUUUUGGAGCCAGCCGCCUAAGGUGGGACAGAUGAUUGGGGUGAAGUCGUAACAAGGUAACCA